Long non-coding RNA from Acyrthosiphon pisum (pea aphid), 1051 nucleotides. RefSeq lists it as uncharacterized. The transcript is spliced from 2 exons. Lineage: Eukaryota; Metazoa; Arthropoda; Insecta; Hemiptera; Aphididae. The record is from RefSeq and is a predicted model, not a curated record.
AAGUACUAUAAGGUAUUGUUACUUAUUACCAAAAACAUUUUUCGAUACGGUCCAAAAUUACAAUCUUUAUUAAAUUUGUUCCAUUUAAUAAUCUAAUAUAUUGUGAAGAUUGUACUAACUACUAAGUAUUAGUACUAGUGCUGUAGAAACAACGGUGCGGGCGGUUUAUUGCACCGGGGCCCCACAUUUCAAUUUCUAUAUGGGGCCCUACUUAAAUAAACUUAUAUAAAAAUUAAGAACCCAUAUACUAAUACAUUUUUUUUUCUGAGGAAUCAAGCAUAAUCACGUCCUCGUAUAAUUUUGUAUUAAAAUACAAAUCUGACAUCAAUAAAUCACUUCAGACUUUACCAGACAAGUUUUAUCAAUUUAAAAUUAAACGCUUCACGGUCAAAAAGACCGGGUUUUAAAAUUUGUUUCAUUGUUUCAAAAAUACGAAAUAUAAACCUAAUCCAACCUAGGUAGCUUCUAAUUAGGUGGUAAACUAAAAUUAGUUACAACUCCCAACUGUAUACUACCUAUUUUAUGUCAGAGAUAUAGAAGUGUUCAAAGUUCAUUACCAGACAUUACUGAUUAAUAUACGGUUAAAAAGACCGUGUGCGUGAUCGUAAAAAUCAAUAUUAUAGGUUAUUUUUAAAUUGUUUUUCUAAUAAUUUUUGCUCGAUAAACGAAAUUGAUAGUUAUGAUAUUUUCAUUGAGACUGGUGAUAUUAUUGCUAGUUGACUAUGAUUUUCGCCAUACUGUGUGUAACUAAAAAGACCGUGUGCGUGUAUUCUCGUGAAUAUUUUAAAUGCGUGUAAUCUAGGGUUAAUACAUAAUACAUUAUGAUGGUGUGGACGGAUCUGUGUACCAUCAAUUAUGCCAGCACUCCGUACCCAAUGUGAGCCUGUGUAAUGGGUCCACAGAUUAAAUUUGCACCGGGGCCCAUAUAGUUCUAACUACGGAACUGGUGAUUAGUACUUAAAUUAUUUUUAUUUUUAUUUAAAUAUUUUCAGACACUUCCUAAAAACAUUGUACAUAAAACAAAUUCUGAAAUUCUUAGUCACACAUAAAA